Equus quagga is the source of this 910-nucleotide long non-coding RNA. RefSeq lists it as uncharacterized. The record is from RefSeq and is a predicted model, not a curated record. Lineage: Eukaryota; Metazoa; Chordata; Mammalia; Perissodactyla; Equidae. The transcript has 3 exons.
UGUGGCAUGUCUGACGCACCUCCUAAGCCAGCCGCUGGCUGCUCCUGUCCCUGUUUACUCCUCUGGCACUGGCUUCUAAGGCAGGGGCGGGAGCUGGAGGGAGAGACAGCGUUAGAUUUCCCAGGAAGAAAAGGAUUCCAUGACUCUAAGAAGUCCUAAAACCAAUGAUCUAUCCAGCAGUCAUUCUCAAAGCUGCCUGUGCAUCGGGAUCAACUGGGUGACUUGUCCUCUCCCAUAGCCAGUAAGGCUGAAGAAGUCCUGAAGAAGUGCUGGACUUGCCCUUCAACAUCCAGAGGUGCCCUUCCAGGCUCUACUUCCCUCGUCCUCUGCUGGGCUGCCACCAGUUCACCGGGUUGCUGGGAGGACUGAUAACAGCAUGUGUGGUGGUUGACAUGUGCUGUUGUCUGCCCAUCACCCAUUUCCCCUGCAUCUAAUUACAGAAUGCCCCUUGUCCCUUAGGCACCCACCCUUUCCCACUCUCAAGUCAUGUGGUAUAAGCAACACUAACCCUCAUGGUACCCCCAAUUCUAAUGGGGUCUCUUCCCCUGCAUCCUGGGGUGUGUGACUUGGGCCUGUUCAAUCUCUGUGUUCCAUGCCUCUUGCCACAAGACUUGAUUUGAGAUGGACAACAAACCCAGUCUAUUCUAUAAGAGUCAAUUCCUGGACCUUGGGCUCAAACUCUUGGGGGAGAGAAAUUCUGUUUCUAGUAGGGUUGUCGAGCUGCAAGAUUUGAGUCUGGAGCUUUCAACAACCAUUUUGCAGCUUCCUAGGGGAAAGCUAGUCUGAGAAUGAAGUUAGCACAGAGCCAAGGGACCAAGACACAGAGACCCUAAGCUGCUGGAUCCAACUGGGCCUGAUGCCAGACAACCCUGUACAUCUCAGUCACAUGAACCAAUAAAUUUUCCUUUCU